CACAGGAAUGGAAACUGGAAGGGCAUCAAAGUUCUCACCAGAAACCCUGAACGGAAUACCAUGGAGAAAUAGAAAUGCCUUCAGGAUCUGGAGGUAAAUGAUUUUAUACCAAACAAUCAGCCAAAGGUGAAGGGAAAAUAAAAACACUUUCAGACAGGCAAGAGUCAAAACUCAGAAUCAUGAAAGAAGAAGCCACAGCCUCUGGAUUAGGGACCCCAGCCCAAGAAAAGGGCAAAGGGGGUCUCAGAGCAGACCGGAGAGGAGGAAACCAGACCGAGCCCACCUGGACAGAAGGGGGGACCGGGCGAGAAGAGCCCGUAGAGGGAGUGGCCUGUGUGAAUAAUGACAGACAUUGCCAGACCUCUGGCAGAUCCUGCAAAGAGACCGGGACAAAUCGCAGGUCUUGCUAUGCAUUCCAGGCUGGCCUUGAAUUCAUGGCAUUCCUCCUGCCUCAGCCUCCCCAGCGCUGGGAAUACAGGUGUGUAUCACCCUGUCCAGCUCUAAAAAAUGCUUUUAAUGGAGAGGCCAUGAAGCUAAGAUGGCCCCAGCCUUUCAGCUCCUCAGAGUCAGACAGCACCCAGAUGUAAACAAUCAAAACCAGAGGUGGAAGCAAUCGGAAACCACCAAGCCACCUCUACUCGGGGACUGUCCACAGAUCAGACCCAGUAAGGCAAAGUUCCACUCAGGAGCUCAUGCAGGGUUUUCUCUCUUCUGCUCCCUAGCUUGGCUGCUAUAGCCCAGCCCUGGACCUCUUCUGAUUCUGGGUGCUGCCUGAUACCUGAAUCAUUCUGCCCUCAAAUUAACUCUGUUGAGUUUAUUUUGUCUAAAGUAUGUUGCUGUUGUUGUUAAUACCUUAUCUGUAAACUGGAAACAACUACACGAACUUCACCCAGUCCACAAGAAUUAAAUGAAAAAUCACAACUGAAUCACUUAGCAAAGUA
This is an RNA transcript of Heterocephalus glaber (naked mole-rat), 941 nucleotides long. RefSeq lists it as uncharacterized. Lineage: Eukaryota; Metazoa; Chordata; Mammalia; Rodentia; Bathyergidae. The record is from RefSeq and is a predicted model, not a curated record.